GGAAAAAUGUAAAGCGUUAUGUGGAUCGAACAUUAGUAGAGAAGCGUGUGAGCCAGCUGCCAAGAAAAGCCGCUAUUGCUUCAUAAGUACCCGUACCGUAAACCGACACAGGUGGAUGAGGAGAGAAUCCUAAGGCCGGCGGGAGAAGUGUUGUUAAGGAACUCGGCAAAAUGACUCCGUAACUUCGGGAGAAGGAGUGCCACAGAGAUGUGGCCGCAGAGAAAUGGCCCAAGCAACUGUUUAGCAAAAACACAGGUCUAUGCAAAACCGAAAGGUGAGGUAUAUGGGCUGACGCCUGCCCGGUGCUGGAAGGUUAAGAGGAGAGGUUAGAGCAAUCGAAGCUUUGAAUUUAAGCCCCAGUAAACGGCGGCCGUAACUAUAACGGUCCUAAGGUAGCGAAAUUCCUUGUCGGGUAAGUUCCGACCCGCACGAAAGGCGUAAUGAUUUGGGCACUGUCUCAACAACACACCCGGUGAAAUUGAAAUACCAGUGAAGAUGCUGGUUACCUGCGCCAGGACGGAAAGGCCCCAUGGAGCUUUACUCCAGUUUGAUACUGGGAUUCGGUACUGUCUGUACAGGAUAGGUGGGAGGCUAGGAAAUGGUGACGCCAGUUGCCAUGGAGCCAACCUUGGGAUACCACCCUUACAGUACUGGGUUUCUAACCUGCAGCCGUGACCCGGCUGGGGGACAAUGUCUGACGGGGAGUUUGACUGGGGCGGUCGCCUCCGAAAGAGUAUCGGAGGCGCUCAAAGGUUCCCUCAGAACGGUUGGAAACCGUUCGAAGAGUGCAAAGGCAGAAGGGAGCUUGACUGCGACACCGACGGGUGGAGCAGAUACGAAAGUAGGACUUAGUGAUCCGGUGGUAUAAAGUGGGAUUGCCAUCGCUCAACGGAUAAAAGCUACCCUGGGAUAACAGGCUUAUCACUCCCAAGAGUUCACAUCGACGGAGUGGUUUGGCACCUCGAUGUCGGCUCAUCGCAUCCUGGAGCUGUAGCAGGUUCCAAGGGUUGGGCUGUUCGCCCAUUAAAGCGGUACGCGAGCUGGGUUCAGAACGUCGUGAGACAGAUCGGUCCCUAUCCGGCGUGGGCGUAGGAUAUUUGAGAGGAGCUGUCCUUAGUACGAGAGGACCGGGAUGGACAAACCUCUGGUGUAUCUGUUGUUUUACCAAAGGCAUGGCAGAGUAGCCAAGUUUGGCAGGGAUAAACGCUGAAGGCAUCUAAGCGUGAAGCCCCCCUCAAGAUAAGAUAUCCCAUCUUCGGAGUAAGACCCCUUGAAGACUACAACGUUGAUAGGCUUCAGGUGUAAGUGUGGUAACGCACUCAGCUGAGAAGUACUAAUAGGUCGAGGACUUACCAAA
This 1357-nucleotide ribosomal RNA is filed under the name metagenome. RNAcentral describes it as "bacterial LSU rRNA". It matches the Rfam family "Bacterial large subunit ribosomal RNA", at positions 1548 to 2925 of the family's 2925-position model. The record is from RNAcentral.